Molecule: RNA transcript, 2807 nt
Organism: Lolium perenne
Lineage: Eukaryota; Viridiplantae; Streptophyta; Magnoliopsida; Poales; Poaceae
Source: RefSeq, a predicted model, not a curated record
GGCGUUGGGCGAUAGACACCUCGCGUGAACGGGUCCCACUCCCGCGUAGAUCAGACAAUCCCAAGUUCAGUAGAACCCUAGCCGCCACACUCGGCACUCCCAUAGUCGCGACCCCCUCCCGCUCCACCCCCUUCCCGCCUUCUCCUCUCUGCCGCCACCUCCCUCGCACAGAUGGCCGGCGUGCUGACGCACCGUGGAGAGCCAGUGAUCUCCCUCGCAUCUCUUCGUCUCCAUUCUUUUCUUCCUCUCCCUUUUCCCUCUGAAUAAUCCACUUCUUUUGUAGGAGCAGAUUUGGGGCUCCAUGGGCAUGGAGCAGCACCGUCGGUGGAUUCGUUACUCGGUGCCGUCGGCCACCCCGCUCUCCCGUUCGUCUCGCUGCCGCCACUCCUCCGACCCUCGCCAACAGUCUGGCUCCUCUCUUUUUCACUGGGAGCAACGAGCGCAUCCCUGCGACGGACGAGUGACACAGCCCUACAACUGCUCCUUCAUCCCCACCAGCCAGGUCACCACGCUGGUAGUGGUACCUCCGCCCCCACCUGUGCAAGCCGCCUCGUCGGCACGUCCGUCCUCACUCCUCACCGAUCAACGCGACAUUAGCUAGGGAUUGUUCUGGGAGCAUCAAUCAGUCUGGAUGGAGAACUCUCUCAUCAAACAUUGGCAAGGACAAAAUAGGUGGACACAUUCAUUGGGAGGCUUUUAGAUAUUCACUCAAAGAUGAUGUGCCUUUACAAUUGCCUUACACCAAGAACCAAAUGAACUGCUCAUCUAGCAGUUGGAGCAAACCUACAAAGCUAGAGCACGAGAAAAUGAUGAGGCAAUACUAAGUAUUAGAAGGUUGUCCAUUAAGAAUAUGAGUCUGCAAUGCAGGAACUGAGCGCCAUAGUUCCUGUUUGGGAGAAAUAAACUUUCAUAAAAACAGCUAUAAGCUAUAUGAACUUUGUAAUUACUUUUUCUGGGAGGAUUUUCUCAUUAAAUUAUAUACCUGUGAUAAACUACUGACAACUACUUCCCCUGUCUUGGUAGUUCCAUGUUUCUAUGACUUUGUACUUUUCUGUUAUUUUUUCUGCUAACUGCAUUUUCUUUUGUUCGUUUGUUAUAAACUUGAUAAUCGACAUUGCAUCCUUUCCAUCUAAUGCAGGUCUAUCGUAGUGCUUUAUUUGUCUCAUGUCUAUUUCCUAACACUGUUUUCUUUUUCUGUUGUUACCUAAUGAUAGCUAGAAUUUGAUGCGGCUGCAAUAUGGGUAUUUUUUUCGAAAUUGGUUUUUCUUUAUUGAAUUGCUUUGUGAACUUGGGUUUCGAACUUCGCAAAAAAAAUUCUUUUAAUAUUUGUUUGUACUCAGUUUUUGGCACAUUUGUGUUCUCUAGAUGGUAUCAUUUCGAGCUAUUAAUCAUUGAAGAAUAAUUACGAAAAAUAACUUUGCCAUAUUAAAUGAUGCAGCGACCUUUGUCAUACCUUAAAGUGGGAUAUUUGACUGCUUCUCCAGCAAACAAUGCCUUUGCAGGUUUAUCCUUGUUGCACUGGGCACUUAUUCCUGAUGAUAGUCGCCUGCAGUUUGGAUGAAUGUGGAAAUGCUUUCCUGAGAGUUCACUCUCUGCUCUCAAUCUUUAUUUCUUUUGUAUUAUUUUGUUUUGCCUGUGUAGACCACCAGGUCACUUGUGUACUAAUUAGUUUAGAUGUAAUCUGGCACUCAGCCAUUAUAUGCUUAUUGACAUGCGCCUACUGCGCCUUUUGCCAAAUUAUAUGUUCCCAGAAUUCCAUUGAAAAGCCAGGAGAUUGGGGCCUGCCUCCCUACAAUAAUUGUUGUAUAUCUAAAAAAUUGUUCUCGUGUUGUUGAAAAGGACAAGGAUGGCCAACUUGCAUAGAAACUGAAGAAUAAAUUGAACAUUUCUGUUGAAGGAAACAACAAGGAAUCUAUCUAACUUGCUGAGGUUGAGGCGUAUAGACUUUCUAAUGCAGGUGAGCAUCCAUGCCAAUCUUUUCACCAGUCUCUGAAAUACUUUUUUUUUUUGAGUUGCUUACGGUUUUGAGUAUCUUUUCUUAGAAAGCAUUGUCUUCUUCUGAACGUGUUUUGUAAUUUGUACUAUUACUCCAAUUCACUAUGGAGCUGUUUUACUUUUUUGUCUUUCUUAUGUCGAUUAAUCUUGGGAGACUCUGAAGAAGCCGUGGUGGCAGAGCUGCAGGGGGGAUGGGGGAGGUGGUUCCGGUGGUGGAUGAAGCUUUGGUGGGCUGAUCAAUAUGCUCGCGGAGUGUCUGUACAUGAAUAUGGACGUAUAGUUGCCCCUAAAUCAUAGUGGAGUACAUGCAAAUAAUAUGUGACAUGUGUAUUGAUCACAAAGCAAUUCAAUUAAAAAAGAACCAAUUUCGGAAAAUACCCAUAUUGCAAUAUGGGUAUUUUUUUUCUGAAAUUGGUUGUUUCUUUAUUGAAUUGGCUGCAAUAUGGGUAUUUUUUCCGAAAUAGAUGGUAUCGUGAUCCAGUCUUUUUAUUUUGUAAAAAGAACUCAUAUUUGAUUUGAUAUGCAGUCUGCGUGUGUGCAGUAGCUGAAAGGGAUUUUUUUGUGUGUGUGGACUGAAACGGUAGCAUUAUGCUGAUUGAAGAGAUACAGAGAUUGGAAGUGAAUGAUUGCUUUCCAUUGAUGUGGACUGCGGGUAUUUAUAUUACCUCAACAGUCGGGAGUACAUGUCGGUUACAAUAAUUGUGUCUCUUUGGAAAGGACACAACUGUUCGCUUUACACAGCGAUUGGACAAAACUCUAAUAUGCUAACUGCUAUAGGGAAUAUUCUAAGGAAUCUGCUAACUGCUUGAUUA